Molecule: ribosomal RNA, 838 nt
Filed under: uncultured bacterium
Lineage: Bacteria
Description: bacterial SSU rRNA
Rfam family: Bacterial small subunit ribosomal RNA
Source: RNAcentral
AAGUCAGAUGUGAAAGCCCAGGGCUCACCCUUGGAACUGCAUUUGAUACUGGCAAACUAGAGUAUGGUAGAGGAAUGGGGAAUUUCUGGUGUAGCGGUGAAAUGCGUAGAGAUCAGAAGGAACACCAAUGGCGAAGGCAACAUUCUGGACCAAUACUGACACUGAGGGACGAAAGCGUGGGGAUCAAACAGGAUUAGAUACCCUGGUAGUCCACGCUGUAAACGAUGAGUACUAGCUGUUGGAUUCGGUGUAAAGGAUCUAGUGGCGUAGCUAACGCGUUAAGUACUCCGCCUGGGGACUACGGCCGCAAGGCUAAAACUCAAAGGAAUUGACGGGGACCCGCACAAGCGGUGGAGCAUGUGGUUUAAUUCGAUGCAACGCGAAGAACCUUACCUGGUCUUGACAUCCUGCGAACUUUCUAGAGAUAGAUUGGUGCCUUCGGGAACGCAGUGACAGGUGCUGCACGGCUGUCGUCAGCUCGUGUUGUGAAAUGUUGGGUUAAGUCCCGCAACGAGCGCAACCCCUAUUGAUAGUUACCAUCAUUAAGUUGGGUACUCUAUUGAGACUGCCGCUGACAAGGCGGAGGAAGGUGGGGACGACGUCAAGUCAUCAUGGCCCUUACGACCAGGGCUACACACGUGCUACAAUGGGUAUUACAGAGGGCAGCGAAGUAGCGAUAUGGAGCGAAACUCAGAAAGGUACUCUUAGUCCGGAUUGCAGUCUGCAACUCGACUGCAUGAAGUCGGAAUCGCUAGUAAUCGCGGGUCAGAAUACUGCGGUGAAUACGUUCCCGGGUCUUGUACACACCGCCCGUCACACCAUGGGAGUGGGUUGCUCC